AUUGGGUAAACAAACAAUUAUUAAAAAGAAAACUUUUGGCCUGUCUUACAGGCCACGGAGUUGCUUGCAGAUCUUACGUAUGCCAGGGAGUCUCAAAAGAGUCGAGUGCGCUGUGGAGCUUAGUGAGCCUGCUGGCUAGAAGCCAUUCAGUUCUUGCCAAAGUUAAAGUGGUCUAUGUAAAUACCCUUCCAGAGCUGGUACAACAAAAAUCAGGAAGAAGAAUCCCCCAAUGA
RNAcentral lists this long non-coding RNA (233 nucleotides) under Ictidomys tridecemlineatus (thirteen-lined ground squirrel). RNAcentral describes it as "lncRNA (ENSSTOG00000029521.1)". Lineage: Eukaryota; Metazoa; Chordata; Mammalia; Rodentia; Sciuridae. The record is from RNAcentral.